GGGUGGCGGCCACACCACCGGCCGUCUAGCGUGGUACGCCAGCGGCAGCCGCCGUGACGAGCGCGCGCGCAGAGGUGUAGCCCUGCUGAAGGAGGCCGCUACAUCCAUCCCAUGGGGAGGGCGAACCGAGGUAAAUAACGGUAGGGACGUAGGAAAGGAGGGUGGGUAGGUAGGUCAGUGCCUGGUGGGUACAGGAGCACGAUGGCACACACGGCAGCAGCGGCUAUCGAAGCGGUCGUCCGGCCGCUCGAAGGGUCCUCAGCGCUGGCGGCGAACUGGGCGGUGUCGGAGGGGAGAGACUUGAGACUUCGGCGCAUCCCUCCACGAGGUCCUCCCGGCGGACGCGUGUUGCGUAGCGCUCCAUCGUCAGCUUCUACCUCCAGCACUGCCCCCGGUACUCGUGGGAGGACGGGUUCGACCCGUCGUACGAGUUCCUACUCAUGUUGGACGUGUCCUUCCAGUCCCCGCUCUAGGACAAGGAGUGCCGGCUCGACCUCUCUUACCUCCGACGAGAGUAUCUCCAAAGCCUCCGGGGCUAACUGGUGGGUGGAUCAUUUGAACAUUUCGAAACCCGGUUCCUACAGUUCCUGGACAGCAUGCUUUAACUCCUGUCGCAGCUGUUUAAGUACCACGUAGAGCUGCCGGCACGUCUCCUCUUCCGCGUCUCGAAGUACCCAAAGUAGGUGUCCUCGUAGCUGGACAACUGCUCCCGGUUCUGCGCGGUGUUCUAGCCGUGGCUCCAGUUUGUGUAGUUCUCUGCGUAGGUCCUCCAGUCACGUGCCGCGCUAUCCAUGUUCCAACUGUUUCGACAACUUUUCGGACAACAGUGUUCACAACUAUCGGAAGCGGACAGUCGAGAGAUGUUUUUCCUCUGUCUCGAGCAACCGUGGCUUCUCUUCUAGGUUCUCGAUCAGCUCUGUUACUGACUCCUCCGUCUGCUCCGCAGAUUCGUCGUCGACUUCUAUCAGAGGUAACGACCAAAACCCCCUAAUCCGUUCUGUUGAGAACGAUUACGCCACAUAGUUUUCGAAUUUAGUGUUAAGCUAACACCCCGAAAACAAAGGCACAGAGAAUUAGGCUUGUAACUCUUCUAAAAAUUCUUGUAAGAAGUGGUUGAACUGUUCGUGUUAAUAUCAUUGUAGUUACUUCGCCAUACCCCGCUUCGUGUCGAGUAGUCACUCGAUUCUCUAAAAGAAGAUUUGUUCUCCAUAAAGUAACACUAACUACUGUAUACCUUGUAAAGACAUACCUUUUGUUAGUUUGUACGAAAGUAACUCUUGUCUACACCUUCAUCUUAUUAGUAUUGUUGAGCAUAAGAACUACAACGGUUUGUUCAACCAUCACAAAUACUGGAUUUCGGAGAAAGAGGAUAGCUGAGUUCUUUCAAUAAAGUGGUUUCUUAUAAACCAUAGCUUCUGUUCAUGGGAGGAUGAGUUAAUCGACUUCAUAGACUCUUGUAAAAUUUCUCUACGUCACCUCAUGGUAACCGAUAUCACUGUUGUCGAUCAUACGAUCGAUCAUUUUCUCCUUUACUAACCGGGUUCCACAUGGUUAGAUACCCAAGGCUCGGUGUUCUAUCAAGACUAUACGUCCUGUACUCUUCCCAUAAUAGUCACUCAAUGAUGCUGGAUGGACGUGUAGACUUCUGUACAAAUAACAAAUAGUCACACAUAGGUCUCCUAAUAUGGUAACAUCGACUUCUAAACUAUACCGUUACCUAACCAGUUCCAAAACAAGUCCUUCUUGUACCCUUCUCGAACAUACUUCAUCCUCUCCUUAUGAAACGAGUCGACUAAUUGUUUUCGAACUAAGUUGGACAUCUAUAACCCUCACCAUUAUUUCGCUCGCGUACAGCACAUGUGCUAUACCACGAACUGGAGUAGUGAAGGGAAAGUUCGCUUCUCUUGAAGGAUUAUUGUCAUCCACCAGACGUCGGACACAGACGUAGUUCAUUCUAUGUAGCUGAUAGACAUGUUUUGUCUUUACUUCUACUAAACUUCUUCGACCGUUGGUACUCGAACAGAGUACACUCCAGUCAAAAACAAAAGCCCGUUCUAUAGUCAAAUGACGGUCGGGAGAGUUCGAAAGGUCAGUAUGCACGUAACCUAAAUUCAAUGACAGAAUUACACCUAUUAGUAGUACACUUCUAAUACACGUUAGACGAAGUGAACUCUAUAAAUGCCGACACGUUAUGUAGGUAUUGACUCUAGGGUCUUCUCUAGCCCUUAGACGUCAAGAACGUCCAUGACCUGUAUUCAGUCUGACCUUAUCUUCACAACGGCGGCGUUAAACAGGCCGAUUGCGUCGAUCACAUGGACGUAUAACUGUCCGCCUGGUUUGACGGUCUAGUCAAACCGCUAGACUUUAGGAACGUUCUAAAAGGUCAAUAGGGGUGACAUUGCAGAGGUAGGUACGACGUACUACAUCCCUUCGACUGCUUUGACUCUUUGGAAGAGUAGUCAAAGCUACUUACCUUGCUCUCGAUGCUCCUUGGAAAGACGGCCACAGAGAGCUUAGACCAGUUAGAGUUUUGCUAUUUUUAUUAGCCACGGGUAGAGCCGAAUCUGAGGCCUUCGCUGAUAAACAACGGCGCCGGAGCUAUGUAAGUCUGUUAAGUAGACUAGUUGUUGUAGUUGACACGUGACGGUUCUACCUACAGGAGGGACAGGACGGAGAGGAAAGAGUGUUAGGUACCGGAUUCUUGUGACGCUCACCUCCUGGAAGUUCAGGAACCCUCGUAUGGCAGUAACUCAAUAGAGCUGUAUACCCAACACCUCGGGUGUGUUCUCUCUGUUCUAUCCAAUAACUAGCUGUCGCCAGUAGGUAAGGAAACAGAUUGUUGUGAGUUCCAGCGGUCAGCGCAGUACCUCGAUGCCAAACGGGUCCCUCGGUGCGUCUUCGAGGUUUGGGAGUUCGAUGCCAAGAGCCGCGCUGUUUGUGAAAUAGUCAAACCGCUAAACCUAAAACCCGACCUCUUGCAGAGAAGCGAACUCGUGCACAUACAGCCCUCCACCAGGUUCGGGCUCGGGCCCCUCCACCUCCGACACCUCCGACGCCAGGCCCUUCGCGAGCCGUACUUAGGGUUGGUCGGCUGUGAGCUCAAGUCGUUCACCGCUACUACCGCAGCCUCAUAGAUCGACCGGUUAUAUAUGUAUUCUCCGUCUUUCUUCUUCGCUACUUCAUUUCUUUCUACAUCUCGCUUGCUCACCGUGACUUAAAUAGUGAUGAUGUUUCUUCCUUCAAACGUAGACUGUGUUGCAGCAAUGAAGCUCGCCGUUUUUCCACCUAGAGGGUUUCAGUCUCAAGAGGCAAUCGAAUGAGCAAACUCAAGCACGUCGCGAGCUAGCGCCGCUUCUUCUUUGGUUACCUGUCGUUCGACCGCUGCGCCCACAGGGCGGCCGGCGGCGGCGUCGGUGGCCGUCGGUGCUCCUCGCGGCACACCGAGUAGCCCGACGAGCACCACGAGACGAAGAAGAGGGACGGCGAGAAGGAGCGCGAGAGGGCGCCGGCGGGGUUGGAGAGGCUGCACACCGUAGACCCGCAGUCGCAGUGGCGCGCGCUGCUCUUACGCUGCCGACCCAGUCUCAGAAGCCUGCGCGGCGGUGGCCGCUCGGCCCUGUCCGACGAGCCGCCCGAGGAGAGCGGCCUGUAGUCGCUCCCGAGGACGGACUCGGCCAUGCGCAGCAGGGAGGUGGCGUCCGGCAGCGGCGUGAACGGCAGCGGCAUGGACCGCAGGGCCGACGCGUUCAUGCUCCGCGAGGUGGCGUUCACGCCGGGCCCGUGCGAGAGGAUGUUCUUCAGCGACUACGUCGACGGAAGGGGCGUGUCGUACCCGGAGCACCUCACGGCGAUGGAGCACACCCGCGGGUGGAGCCCGGUGUAGCCGCUGGCGCACGAGAGGUAGCGCAGGCGGAAGGAGAUGCGCGACGAGUGGGCGGCGCAGGAGGAGGACGUCGAGCGGCUGCUGUACCGGCCGGAGAAGACGCUCGGGAAGGGCCCGCGCUGCACCCUCGAGGGUCGGCCCCCGAAGGAGGGGCUGGUGUAGUUCCCCGAGGCGGCGCCGUCGCUGGCGUCGAUGCCCUUGAAGUAGGCCCGGCGGUUCUUGUUCUUCCUGCCCUCGCUGCUGCCGGGGCGGCCAAACGGCCGGCUCAGCGACGGCGGCAUGCGCAUGCACGUGGACCUCGUGCUGAUGGUCGUCGGCCUCGUCGAGAAGAAGACGCUGCUGCUGGUCUGGCAGGAGUCGUUGCAGUUGACCGACUAGGACGCGAGGUUGGAGAUGAAGCGCCGCCCCGACAAGGACCACGGCGUCAAGCUCCUCCUCGAGGCCACCUACAAGGGCCGCUCGCUGUGCCGCAAGGUGGUGCAGCCCUCCAUGGACAAGGUGGGCAGGUUGCUCCACACCGUCGAGUAGUGGUCCAUGAUGUGCAGCAUGUACCGGUCGAAGCUCCUUUUAUAGCCCGACGUCUAGUGGUGGAAGCGGACCUUGGGGCACGGCAAGCUCCUUAUGAAGUUCGUCCAGAGCCGUACGUGCUCGGUCCUCUUCUAGGACGGCCUCCAGCUGUGGUGGGGCCCGCAGGAGGUACUCCGCUGCCGCCGCUGCAGGUUCCGCCACGAGCAGUCGAGCCUCGUGGGCCUCAUGCGGCUCUUCGAGUUCAGGUACAUGAUGCUCGUGCGCUGGCACUGGCCGCUCUGGCACUCGCACGACGUCGGGCCGCCGCCGCCCUUGGUGAGCGUGUUGGUCUUCCGCCACCACCUCUACAAGGACGUCUCGAUGACGCUGCACAGCCACCACUCGCCGACCAGGUGGCACCCCAUGCAGCCCGUGCCGGAGCGGCCCGACUUCGGCACCGACGACGACCGCGGCUCCUUGGUCUGCCGCCGGCUGGGCGGGACGCAGGUCCGCUGCAGGUACCUCGGCACGAAGGUGCGCGGCGGCUCGAUGCUGACGUCCCGGUUCUUCUUCCCCCUGGAGCCGCGGCAAGAGGCCGUGCAGUCCGUAACGCUUCUACAGCCGCUACCGGAGUUUGAUAAGCUGACUAAAACCGGUCCAUCGAAGGUUACUGGGGCAUUUAAAUGUUCGUCCCUUCCCAACGUCUCACUAAGUUACCACAACACACUUGAACAGACAUCAACACAAGUUUGUUCUUAUUAUGACAUCAACAAAACGAUUACAUGAAUGACAUUCGUUUUCCUUAUUAUGACAUCAACACUGGGUCGUGUAAAGUAAAAUAAGAUUUGAGAGUCUGUCGAGACUACGGAAUGACAAAAAACCUGAAUUAAACGUAAGACCCUGACAUA
RNAcentral lists this ribosomal RNA (5298 nucleotides) under Triticum aestivum (bread wheat). RNAcentral's name for it is "partial small subunit ribosomal RNA". The record is from RNAcentral. Lineage: Eukaryota; Viridiplantae; Streptophyta; Magnoliopsida; Poales; Poaceae.